GCGCGCUUGACGCGUGACAGCGAGACCGUUACCUGAGCGAGCGGCGCGUGCGGAGCAUCCUGAGGUCACCCGGCUCGCGCGCGUAGGGAGAUGAACCUGGAGCGGCUGAGGAAGCGGGUCCGGCAGUACAUAGAUCAGCAACAGUAUCAAAGUGCCUUGUUUUGGGCAGACAAAGUUGCUUCACUGUCUCAUGAGGAACCUCAGGACAUCUAUUGGCUGGCCCAAUGUCUCUACCUGACAGCUCAGUAUCAUAGGGCAGCACAUGCCCUUCGAUCACGCAAGCUAGAUAAGUUGUAUGAAGCAUGUCGAUACCUUGCUGCUAGAUGUCAUUAUGCUGCAAAAGAGCAUCAGCAGGCUCUUGAUAUUCUUGACAUGGAAGAGCCAAUCAACAAAAGACUAUUUGAAAAAUACUUGAAGGAUGAAAGUGGGUUGAAAGACUCUACCAGUGACUGGGAGAUGUCACAGUCUUCUAUCAAGAGUUCUAUUUGCCUUUUGCGAGGAAAGAUCUAUGAUGCUCUGGAUAAUAGAACCCUGGCAACGUACAGCUACAAAGAAGCCUUGAAGCUUGAUGUUUACUGCUUUGAAGCAUUUGACUUUUUAACAUCACACCAUAUGCUAACAGCACAAGAAGAAAAAGAGCUUCUUGAAUCUCUACCUCUUGGUAAACAGUGUACAGAAGAAGAACAAGAAUUGCUUCAUUUUCUGUUUGAGAACAAACUGAAAAAGUAUAAUAAGCCAAGUGAAACAAUAAUUCCUGAAUCUGUAGAUGGUCUUCAGGACAAUCUGGAUGUAGUAGUGUCCUUAGCUGAAAGGCAUUAUUAUAACUGUGACUUCAAAAUGUGCUACAAGCUUACUUCUGUAGUAAUGGAAAAAGAUCCUUUCCAUGCCAAUUGUUUACCUGUGCACAUAGGGACACUCGUGGAGCUGAAUAAAGCAAAUGAGCUAUUCUAUCUUUCUCAUAAAUUGGUGGAUUUGUACCCAAAUAAUCCUGUCUCAUGGUUUGCGGUAGGAUGCUAUUAUCUCAUGGUCGGUCACAAAAAUGAACAUGCCAGAAGAUAUCUCAGCAAAGCCACUACACUUGAGAGAACCUACGGACCAGCUUGGAUAGCAUAUGGACAUUCGUUUGCAGUUGAGAGUGAGCAUGACCAGGCAAUGGCUGCUUACUUCACAGCAGCACAGCUGAUGAAAGGCUGUCAUUUGCCGAUGCUCUAUAUUGGACUAGAAUAUGGUUUGACCAACAAUUCAAAAUUAGCUGAAAGAUUUUUCAGCCAAGCCCUAAGCAUUGCACCUGAGGAUCCUUUUGUUAUGCAUGAAGUUGGAGUGGUUGCAUUUCAAAAUGGAGAUUGGAAAACUGCAGAAAAGUGGUUCCUUGAUGCUUUAGAGAAAAUUAAAGCUAUUGGAAAUGAGGUAACAGUUGAUAAAUGGGAGCCUUUAUUGAACAACUUAGGACAUGUGUGCAGAAAGCUCAAAGGAAUUUCUCUCUCAGGCGUGCCCAGCUCACCUGGCUUUAAACGCUGCCUGACUUGCAGACUUUCCAUACUGGUCUCUGAUGGCCACGCACAGUGUUUCAGCUGCCUCGGAGAGGCACACAUUACCCAAAAGUGUCCACACUGCAGAAAAUUGACUGGGACAGGACAAGGAAGGCUAGGGAUCUCCAAUUGAAGCUCCUGAUGAUGGAGAAAUCCCUCAGACCAGCGUCCGACCCCAAGUCCAGGACACCUCCUGGUCGCCAGUGGCAGCGUCUGACAGGGGAUCUACUUCAACAACGGCUGCUACGGAGCCUGCUCCUAGAAAAGCUACCAAAAAGUGGUCACACUCAUCCCCACAGUGUGAAUCACCUAAAAGAAAGUGAUCUCCAAAUGAAAAAUCUGUCCUGGUACCACUGGCACCAAGAGCGCCAGACCAUGAGGCACCGGGAACAUCCGUACUGAAACAUCCUGAGGAGCUAAAGAUCCUAUGUGGGAAAGCUCUAAUGGAGGUGCACACAGUAAAGCCAAACCUCCCAGCUCAGCACCUACGGAGCUGAAGAAAACCUCGGCACCAAGCAGUACAAUGUCGCCAUCUGUCGUGUUCCUAUUCAGCACAGCUCCAAGUCAUUGGCACUGACAGCUUUUACCCUAAUUCCCGAUCAGUGCAUGGUGCCGUCCCUGGCACCAAGCCUUAUGGUUCCGCAGCAGUUCAUGAGGCAUGCAGACCUGAUAGUGGCCUCAACACCUGGAAUUCCCCUACUCAGUACCGACGGUACCUCAGCAAGACCAGAACCAAGCCUGGUAACCACUCCCUGUGAAUCAGACCCUCCCUUCUCCAGUGUUGAGGAAGAAGAGGAUGAGACAGUAAUAUACACUCCGUAUCACUCCUCCCCUAAACCUGGACCCUCUCAGCACCAAACAUCUACAUACAUGUGAGGCUGAUAUGGUCAACCAUGGGCACCGCCACAUAUACCCUUCCCACCCAACUGGCCAUAUUGGGAUCCAUGGGCAAUGUAUAGGGCAGAGAACCUUAGGCCCCCUAACCCACUGAGGUCCAAAACAACUCUGUCCCCUUCACCAACUGUCCCAACACCCUCAGAGACACAAGAGGAAGAGAUAGAGGAGCCUGAUGACACACCUGAAGGUGACACCCUGCUGCCCACCCACAUAUCGUCUUUGUCGCCAGACAAAACGAUAAUGCCACUCCCCCCACACGCUAGGGGGGAUGAUUUCAAAUCUUUUCAAGACCUCUUCAAAAGUGUAGCUGAAUCUCUGGACAUUUCAUUAGCUGAGCUACAAGAGACCCAACACAAGCUCACAGACGUAUUCCAGACAUCCCGAGCAGCAAAGAUAGCACUGCCAAUUAAUGAUGCCAUUAUGGACCCUGCAAAAAUAAUCUGGCACACACCCGCCACAGCCGCUCCCUCCUGUAAGAGGUCUCAAAAUAAAUAUUAUGUGCCAGCAAAAGGGGCUGAGUUUCUAUUUACCCACCCUGUACCAAACUCGCGGGUGGUGGAUGCGGUAAAUCAAAGGAGGAAAACAACACCAGUCCAGAACGACCCCAUAUAAUAAGGACUGGAAAAGGCUAGACCUCUUCGGACAGAAAGCCCACUCCUGUGCCACACUCUACUUCCAUGUAGCCAAUUAUUCAGCCCUACUGGCAAAAUACAACCAUCCACCUCCAGACAAUCAUUUUGAAGGUGUGGUCGAGGGUACAAGACAUCCACACUCUCUGAUUCCAAAACCAGAUCCGGUCCCCAGCCCAUACGGAGACCAUCGGGUAAUAUGGUGACAGUCUGGAACUGUCAGACAACAGACAAAUGGCUUCUGGAGAUUAUUCAGAAGGGCUACUCCAUCCCCUUUAUUUCUAUCCCACCUACUCACUGCUCUCCCCCAUUCAUCUUCAGGGAACUCUCUCAUGAGCACCUGUUACAACAGGAAAUAAACCACCUCAUACAAUUAGGUGCCGUGGAACCUGUACCAUCUCAACAUGGGGAGAGGUUUUUAUUCCCAUUAUUUUCUUACUCAGAAAAAGAAUGGCCGGCAGAGACCCAUCCUGGAUUUAUGAAAAGUCAACAAAUUUUUGAGAAUGCAAUGUUUCAAAACAGUGACUAUAUCCACAAUAAUUCUGGCAGUAGAGAAAGGAGAUUGGCUCUCAGCCCUCAACUUCCAGGAUGCUUAUUUUCAUAUUACCAUAUGCAGCACACAGAAGAUUCCUGAGAUUCACCCUAGGGAAUCAGUAUUUACAAUACAGAGUGCUACCCUUUGGCCUGUCAACUGCCUUAAGAGGUUUUUUCCCAAGGUUCUCACGGUCAUUGCAACUCACCUCCGCAUGCAUUUUUCCAUGCUUAGAUGACUACUUCGUAAGGACACCAAUGCAGCAAGGAGUGAUAAACGCCACACAUACCACGAUAACCCUUUACAUGGACGUUGGGUUACAGAUAAAUGUACAGAAGUCCACCUUGGUCCCUGUCCAACAGUUGGAAUUUAUAGGACCCUACCUCUACUGCCUCACAGCAACAGCAAUGUUACUCCAACAACGCUUCCCCACUCUAGUCAACCUAAUUUCAACAGAUGGACAGCCCACAAACAUCUGCCAGAAUGUGUUUACAACUGUUGGGGCACAUGUCGGCAACAACGUUUGUCUUAAAAUAUGCCAGGCUCCACAUGAGUUUCUUACAGGCCUGGCUUCGAACAGUGUAUAUACCACACAGACAUUCUCUCAACUGAUGCCUCAUGAUGCCCCUCAUGGUAAAAGAAACGCUAACAUGGUGGACACAACCACAGAACAUCUGCUAGGUGUUCCUUUCCAACAAAAAGUUCCAACCAUGACAAUCACGACGGAUGCCUCUCUAGUUGGUUGGGGGGCACAUUUAUGCGACAAUACGGUCUAGGGCUGCUGGUCUCCAGCAGAGUCUAACUUGCACAUAAACUUACUGGAGCUAAGGGCAGUCCGAAACGCAUGCAAGCACUUUCUCCCUUUAAUCAGGAACAAUGCCAUCAAGAUCCUUAUGGACAAUAUUGCAUGCAUGUUCUAUAUAAAUCGCCAAGGGGGAGCAUGAUCAUACCCCCUAUGUGCAGAGGCAGUACAUCUCUGGAAUUGGUGCAUCACCAACAACAUAGAGAUUUCGGCAUCCUGUUUGCCGGGAUGUCAGAACACAACAGUGGACCACCUAAGCAGUGACUUCUCACAAACACACAAGUGGGAGAUGGAUCCUGGAAUUCUCAAAGCCAUAUUCAAACUAUGGGGAUUCCCCACUAUAGACCUAUUUGCAACAGCUCAGGACUUCAAGUGCGCACAAUAUUGAUCCCGGGCCGGAUUGGGACACCACUCCCUGGGCAAUACUCUCCUCGUAAAAUGGGAAGCCCCACUGUUGUAUGCAUUUCUUGCGAUCCCAGUCCGAUCCGAGUCAUUCACAAGAUCACGCAGGACAAAUCCAGGGUCAUUUUCAUUGCACCCACAUGGCCCAGACAAACAUGGUUCCCAUUCCUGUGACAGAUGCCAGUUAAAUCACCUCAAACCCUUCCCUUAGUUCCUCACCUUCUGUCACAGGACAUGGGGCGUGUCCAUCACCCCAACCUCACAGUACUCCACCUCAAGGCCUGAUUAUUCCAUGGCUGAUGGGGGGUAAAGAAGGACUGUUCUGAAGAAGUGAAAGAUAUACUGCUGAACAGUCGCAGACUAAGCACAAGAAGGAUAGAUAGACAGAUAGAUACACAUAAGUGGAAAUGAUUCUGCACUCGUUGCCAGGACAAACAGAUCUUUCCACAAUCAGCCCCACAACUUAGAAUCCUCGACUAUAUACUGGGCCUUAAAAAAUCUGGGCUAUCCACCUGCUCCGUCAGAGUACAUCUGGCUGCCAUCACCUCCUUCCACGACAAGGUGGAUGGAGUCACUAUCUUUGCUCACCUGAUGACUAAACGCUUCCUUAAGGGCAUAGAAAACACUUACCCCACACUAAGAAACCCUACUCCCAUGUGGGACCUCAACCUUGUUCUACACGGUCUCAUGGGAAAACUGUUUGAACCCCUUGCAACUUUCUCUGUGUUAUACUUAUCAAUGAAGGUUGCUUUCCUCAUUGCCAUCACGUCAGCAAGAAAGGUGGGAGAAUUAGUUGCCCUAAUGGCAGACUCACCUUAUACGACAUUCUUUAAGGAUAAAGUAAUCCUAUGACCGCACCCCAAGUUCAUCCCCAAGGUUGCCUCCCCUUUUCAUUUAAAUCAUGCCAUAUACUUACCUGUAUUUUUCCCGAAGCUCCAUACCGACAGCAGGGAGGCCUCACUCCACAUGCUAGACAUCCACAGAGCACUAGCUUUCUACAUAGAAAGAACAAAAGCAUUCAGAAAAUCAUCUCAACUGUCAGUUUCCAUAAGAGAACAUUCGAAGGGCCAAACCAUCUCAAAACAAAGACUAUCCAAAUGGAUAUCUGGGUGUAUCCAUUUGUGCUAUCAAAACAGCAACCUGCAACCUCCACCGAGAGUUCGCACACACCCCAUCAGAGCAUUAUCAACAUCUAUGGCCUUUCUCAAUAAUGAAAUAUGAAGAAGCAUUAGAAUACCAUCGUCAGGCCCUAGUAUUGAUUCCUCAGAAUGCUUCCACAUAUUCUGCCAUUGGAUACAUACACAGUCUAAUGGGCAAUUUUGAAAGUGCAAUUGACUAUUUUCAUACGG
Chelonia mydas (Green sea turtle) is the source of this 6140-nucleotide RNA transcript. It is a transcript of the gene named cell division cycle 16, with no coding region annotated. The record is from RefSeq and is a predicted model, not a curated record. Lineage: Eukaryota; Metazoa; Chordata; Testudines; Cheloniidae. The transcript is spliced from 17 exons.